Molecule: ribosomal RNA, 3941 nt
Filed under: Clostridioides difficile
Lineage: Bacteria; Bacillati; Bacillota; Clostridia; Peptostreptococcales; Peptostreptococcaceae
Description: 23S ribosomal RNA
Rfam family: Bacterial large subunit ribosomal RNA (bases 2183-3941)
Source: RNAcentral
AUAUGGUCUAUUAGCUCAGUCGGUAGAGCACCUGACUUUUAAUCAGGGUGUCCCGCGUUCGAGUCGCGGAUAGAUCACCAAAAAGGUGGCGACAUAGCCAAGUGGUAAGGCAGUGGACUGCAACUCCUUGAUCCCCAGUUCGAAUCUGGGUGUCGCCUCCAAUAAAAUGCGCUCAUAGCUCAACUGGAUAGAGUGUCUGACUACGAAUCAGAAGGUUAGGGGUUCGAGUCCCUUUGGGCGCACCAUAUAAAUAGCGAGGGAUUAUAGCUCAGCUGGGAGAGCACCUGCCUUACAAGCAGGGGGUCACAGGUUCGAGCCCUGUUAAUCCCACCAGUGCAAACCUCUAGUAAUUUUACUAGGGGUUUUAUUUUUGAUUGAAAAAGUUUUUAUAUUUAGGAGGUAAGAAACUUGUAUAUAGUAAUAGGAAAUGAAAUAGUUGAUAGUGAAGAACUUAAAGUAAUUAUAGAUAAAAAUAGUAAAUUUAAAGUAGAAAAGGAUUUAAGUAAAAGCACAAAAAGAGAAGAUGUAAUAGCAUAUCAGUUAAGUAUAGAUUUAAAUUAUUUAGAUUCUCUUAUAAGUGAGCAAUGUAAUUUAGCUAGUUUAUCUGAUGAAGAGAAAUUUGAUGAAUAUAUGACUUUGUCUGAUGAACUUGCACUGAAUUUAGAAGAACUUAUGCCAAAAUAUACAAUAAUAAAUGCUAGAGCAUAUAAAUUGGAUGAGGUAGAUGGAGUUGUAAAAAUAAUCUUGGCUGUAGCAUAUGCAGAUUUAGGACACUUAAAACUUUCUGAUGUAGUAAUGAGGAUAUCUAGACAAGUAGAUUAGGAUACGAAUGAAUAUGAACUAUAUUAAAAAAAUGUAUAAAAUCNGUGGGUGCAUAGCUCAGCUGGAUAGAGCAACGCCCUUCUAAGGCGUGUGUCCGGGGUUCGAAUCCCUGUGCGCUCACCACAUAUAUAUUGGGGAUUAGCCAAGUCGGUAAGGCACAUGACUUUGACUCAUGUAUGCGUAGGUUCGAGUCCUGCAUCCCCAGCCAAAUAAAAAUAUGGUCUAUUAGCUCAGUCGGUAGAGCACCUGACUUUUAAUCAGGGUGUCCCGCGUUCGAGUCGCGGAUAGAUCACCAAUGGAGAGGUGUCCGAGUGGUUUAAGGAGCUGGUCUUGAAAACCAGUGACUUCGAAAGGGGCCGUGGGUUCGAAUCCCACCCUCUCCGCCAAAAAAUAACUGAAUUUGGAGAAGUACUCAAGUGGCUCAAGAGGAUCCCCUGCUAAGGGAUUAGGCUGGGUAACCGGUGCGAGGGUUCGAAUCCCUCCUUCUCCGCCAUUCAAAAACGAGGUGUAGCGCAGUUUGGUAGCGCACAUGGUUUGGGACCAUGGGGCCGGGGGUUCGAGUCCCUUCACCUCGACCAACUUAGCUUUUAGUUCGGUUGGUUAGAGUGCCCAACUCAUAACCAGAGAUUCUGGGGAUUGAGUCCAUGAAGGUUAUUCUUCAUAGGGGUGUAGCUCAGUUGGUAGAGCGUCGGUCUCCAAAACCGUGCGCCGGGGGUUCGAGUCCCUCCACCCCUGCCAAAUAAAAAGGACUUGAAAAAAGUUGGGUUUUAGAGUAGUAUAAGAUAGUAAAUAAGAUUUCGAGGUGUAGCGCAGUUUGGUAGCGCACAUGGUUUGGGACCAUGGGGCCGGGGGUUCGAGUCCCUUCACCUCGACCAAGAAAAGGGCCUAUAGCUCAGGUGGUUAGAGCGCACGCCUGAUAAGCGUGAGGUCGCUGGUUCGAGUCCAGCUAGGCCCACCAUUUGCCCAGAUAGCUCAGUCGGUAGAGCAGGGGACUGAAAAUCCCCGUGUCGGUGGUUCGAUUCCGCCUCUGGGCACCAGAAUGUGGCGGUAUAGCUUAGUUGGCUAGAGCGUUCGGUUCAUACCCGAAAGGUCAUAGGUUCGACUCCUAUUACCGCUACUAGAAUUUAAUGUGGGCCAUUAGCUCAGUUGGUUAGAGCGCCCGGCUCAUAACCGGUAGGUCUGGGGUUCGAGUCCCUGAUGGCCCACCACAUUAAAUUAAUUAAUAUAAAUUCGAGGUGUAGCGCAGUUUGGUAGCGCACAUGGUUUGGGACCAUGGGGCCGGGGGUUCGAGUCCCUUCACCUCGACCAAUAUAAGGUGGGUAUAGCUCAGUUGGUUAGAGCGCCAGAUUGUGGCUCUGGAGGUCGUGAGUUCGACUCUCAUUAUCCACCCCAACUCAUAUGGUCUAUUAGCUCAGUCGGUAGAGCACCUGACUUUUAAUCAGGGUGUCCCGCGUUCGAGCCGCGGAUAGAUCACCAAAAAGGUGGCGACAUAGCCAAGUGGUAAGGCAGUGGACUGCAACUCCUUGAUCCCCAGUUCGAAUCUGGGUGUCGCCUCCAAAAUAUUCCAAGGUAGCUCAACGGUGGAGCAACCGGCUGUUAACCGGUAGGCUGUGGGUUCGAGCCCCACCCUUGGAGCCAAAAAAAGCCGAAGUGGCGGAACUGGCAGACGCACAGGACUUAAAAUCCUGCGGGAUUUACCUCUCGUACCGGUUCGAUUCCGGUCUUCGGCACUUAUAAANAAGUAGGCAAAUCCGCUUUGAUAAUGCUGGGAUGUGAUGGGGAGCGAAAUUUAGUAGCGAAGUAGCUGAUUUCACACUGUCAAGAAAAGUCUCUAUCGAGGUUAAAGGUACCCGUACCGCAAACCGACACAGGUGGGUGAGGAGAGUAUCCUAAGGCCAGCGAGAGAACUGUUGUUAAGGAACUCGGCAAAAUGACCCCGUAACUUAGGGAUAAGGGGUGCCACCAUCAGGUGGCCGCAGAGAAUAGGCCCAAGCGACUGUUUACCAAAAACAUAGGUUUCUGCUAAGUCGCAAGACGAUGUAUAGGAGCUGACGCCUGCCCGGUGCUGGAAGGUUAAGGGGAUCUGUUAGAGCAAUCGAAGCAGUGAACUUAAGCCCCAGUAAACGGCGGCCGUAACUAUAACGGUCCUAAGGUAGCGAAAUUCCUUGUCGGGUAAGUUCCGACCCGCACGAAAGGCGUAACGAUUUGGGCACUGUCUCAACAACAGACUCGGUGAAAUUGUAAUUCCGGUGAAGAUGCCGGAUACCUGCGACAGGACGGAAAGACCCCAUGGAGCUUUACUGUAGCUUGACAUUGGGUCUUGGUACUACAUGUACAGGAUAGGUGGGAGGCUUUGAAACCAGGACGCCAGUUUUGGCGGAGCCAUCCUUGGGAUACCACCCUUGUAGUACUGGGACUCUAACCAUAGGCCAUGAAUCUGGUCUUGGGACACUGUCAGGUGGGCAGUUUGACUGGGGCGGUCGCCUCCCAAAAGGUAACGGAGGCGCUCAAAGGUUCUCUCAGUACGGUCGGAAAUCGUACGUAGAGUGUAAAGGCAAAAGAGAGCUUGAUUGCAAGACAUACAGGUCGAGCAAGGAUGAAAAUCGGACUUAGUGAUCCGGUGGUUCUGCGUGGAAGGGCCAUCGCUCAACGGAUAAAAGCUACCCUGGGGAUAACAGGCUUAUCUCCCCCAAGAGUCCACAUCGACGGGGAGGUUUGGCACCUCGAUGUCGGCUCAUCACAUCCUGGGGCUGUAGUAGGUCCCAAGGGUUGGGCUGUUCGCCCAUUAAAGUGGUACGCGAGCUGGGUUCAGAACGUCGUGAGACAGUUCGGUCCCUAUCCGUCGCAGGCGUAGGAAAUUUGAGAAGACCUGUCCUUAGUACGAGAGGACCGGGAUGGACGUACCUCUGGUGUACCAGUUGUUCUGCCAAGGGCAUGGCUGGGUAGCUAUGUACGGAAUGGAUAAGCGCUGAAAGCAUCUAAGCGCGAAGCCAACUUCAAGAUAAGAUUUCCCACCGCAAGGGUAAGACCCCAGAAAGACUAUCUGGUUGAUAGGUCGAAGGUGUAAGUGCAGCAAUGUAUUUAGCUUAUCGAUACUAAUAGGUCGAGGACUUGACCAA